UUAUUCCAUAAAUAUUUGCUGAGUCACAGGAUAUGGAGAGGAGCAAGAUAGGGCUGGUUCCUGCCCUCAGAGAAGUCUCUGCCUGGUGGGGAGACCAACCUGGAUCAAUACCCCUGUGCUCUGGUAGAAGUAGACAGAGGGUGUUCUGGAGGCAGAGGGAAGGGUUUUUCAUCAGGCCUCAAGCCUGAGUGGUAGGGGAAGAAAAGAGAUAUCAGGGGAAGCUUCAUGGAGAGCAACCUAAGUAACCAACUAAGGAAUUUCACCAAAGAGGGAGAGAGGCCCCACAAACUGGGGCAGAGUAAGCAGGAUGAUGGGGCUACUGAAGGGAGGGGAGGCAGAGAGACAGGCUGAGCUCCAAGAACGUCACCGUGACCAGAGAGUCAAGCCAAGAAGUGUGGAUAGGAUCCCAAGAGCUGCAAGUUGACAAGACAGAUGAACAGGUGUCUGGGCAUCCCACGGAUGAGGAGGACUGAAAACGUUUGAACUACCUCUCCGCAUGCAGCAAGACGAAUCACCCGUGCCCUCGUGCCCUCGAGGGUGUGAUGACUUCUCUGUGCAUCUCAUGCGGCCCUGCUCCCUUUGAACAUUUCUGGUGACAGUGCACUUACCUGUUCUUUCCUGCUAAUUUGGAAGCUCCACAUCUGGGUUACAUCUGUUUCUCCAAUCGGAAGACCUGCUAUCGAGCCCUCAACAAGUAUUUGUUGAGUGCAUGCUUUGGUUGCAAAGUUUCUGUUCGGAGGUUUUUGUGUUGUGUCUUUUAUGGUAGCCAAACUUGGGGGCGUUUCUGUAGCAGAGAAUGCGAGAUAGAUAUCCACAAGGGCAGGAGCAUGGCAAAUGAACCUCAGUGAGGAGGCGGUGAAAGGCAGCAGAAAAGUGCUGUGUUGUGGGGCACAGCACGUGCUAAGAGGCAGCGCUACCCAGCCUCAGCCACAAAUGUGGACAUUGUGACUAUGGGUUCAGUAUUUCUAGAUCAUUCCAGUUUUCAAAAUAACCUGGAAAACACCGAUUUUAAUGUGAGGCUGUCUGGCUGGCAGUAGGUCUGCAGGCCACCCGCUUGAGAACUUUCCUGACGAGAGUUACUCUCUGACUAACAAAUAGAUCCUGUGCCUGGAAUAGUCUAGUGAAACUGGACUCUCUCUCUCUCUCUCACUCUCCCUCCCUCCCUCCCUUCCUCCUUCUCGCCUUCAAAAAUACUUCAUUUUCUUCCAGGAAUGUUAAUUACCAAAUCAUUUCCUUCUGUUGUGCUACAUUCAUAAGUAGUUCUGGAAUGACUUGUUUCUUGUGAAAUGAUCAUUUGGGAGACUAAAUUGAAAUAAUAAAAUUAGAAAUAA
Long non-coding RNA from Lynx canadensis (Canada lynx), 1331 nucleotides. RefSeq lists it as uncharacterized. Lineage: Eukaryota; Metazoa; Chordata; Mammalia; Carnivora; Felidae. The record is from RefSeq and is a predicted model, not a curated record. The transcript is spliced from 2 exons.